Molecule: long non-coding RNA, 1305 nt
Filed under: Homo sapiens (human)
Lineage: Eukaryota; Metazoa; Chordata; Mammalia; Primates; Hominidae
Description: long non-coding RNA NONHSAT166568.1
Source: RNAcentral
AAUGAAAUGGCAAGACACAAGUGGUGUGACCUUUCCCAGUGACCCCACAAACCUUCACUGAUGUCUAUGAAAAUCACAAAAUGAUUUGUGAUGGUGCAGUUGGACCUCUUGUCAAAAGCCAGUGAAGGGGCUGAAUGGAUGCAAGAGGUGGAGCCCGUGCCAAACUCUGGAAAUUAACAUUGCCGUGUAUUCUCAGCAAGCUUUGUCCCCGCCUUCUGCAAAAGCUGUCUUGCUGGUCAGCAGUGACAUCCAUGCUGCUAAAGCCAGUGGAAAUGCUGGGCCUCAUCUUCCUAGAAGCUGCACUUGACCAUGGCCUCCCCAGGCUCUCGUGCCCGCGUUCAGCCCUCACCACCUACCUGUUGGCCAUGCAAGCUCCUUGCACACACCAGCUGCGUCCCACCUGUGUGCCUCUUGGACGUGCCUGGAAGCUCUGUAGUGCAUCGCUGCUCUCCCCCAGUCCUACCUCGGUGCUGCCCAGAGAGCUCCGCCUGGUCCCCAUUCACCUGCUAUCUCGUUCCUCCCAUGCCACAUUUUUUCUCCUUAGCCCUCACUCUCUAGCAUACCCCUGUUAGUUUUGUAUAGUGCCUGUCUCUGCCCACUAUAAUGCGAGCUCUGUGAGCAUAGGGUUUAUCUGUUUCUUUCUUUGCCGUAGGCCCAGCACUAAUAACAGGGUCUGUAUCUGUUUGUGGAAGAGACUUGCUGAGAAAGCAUGCUUUACAAAGUUCUGUGUGUUUACAGCUGUGUCCUGAUCAGCUCCCAGGCCAGUACCUCAUCAUCGUGAGUCUGUUCUACAUGAGAGUCCCGCACCGUCUGAAUGCGCUGUGUCUGGCCUGGAUGCUGCACCCUGAUUCCUCAGGGUAACAGUCAUUCACCUUUGGCUGCUCAGCCUCCAAGCCACACGCCAUGGUCAGCCUCGGCCACUAUCACAGCUGGUCCUGGAGGCUGCAGGGCUCCCUCUCUUGGACCCAGUACUCCCACUACUCCCUCCCCAACUGAUAUGGUUUGGCUGUGUCUCCAUCCAAGUCUCAUCUUAAAUUGUAGUUCCCAAAAAUUGCACGUGUUGUGGGAGGGAGUUGUGGGAGAUAAUUUAAUCCUGGGGGGCGGUUUUCCCCAUACUGUUCUCGUGUUAGUGAAUAAGUCUCACCAGAUGUGGUGAUUUCAUAAGUGGUCUCCCCUUUUGCUUGGUUUUCAUUCUCUCUCGUCUGCGCCAUGUAAGAUGUGCCUUUGGCUUUCCACCAUGAUUUUGAGGCCUCCCCAGCCACGUGGAGCUGUGAGUUAAUUAAAUCUCUUUUUUUUAAAUAAAUU